This 230-nucleotide long non-coding RNA is filed under the name Sorghum bicolor (sorghum). RNAcentral describes it as "long non-coding RNA (SBIC_LNC002782)". The record is from RNAcentral. Lineage: Eukaryota; Viridiplantae; Streptophyta; Magnoliopsida; Poales; Poaceae.
AACAUUGUUGAAUCACCGGUCAUGUGUUGUGUGCACCCACUAUCAAGCACCCAAUGCCUUCCUCCGACUUUAUAGUUUACCUACAAAACAAAUCAAUGUUUUUUAGGUACCCAUACUUGCGUGGGUCCUUGGAGGCUAGUGACUAAGCUCUUUGGUACCCAAAUGGCCUUCUUCUUUGGACCCACAAUUGGUGUACGAACAAACUUAGCAUGCACACCCUUCUCACCCUU